Molecule: non-coding RNA, 577 nt
Filed under: Pongo abelii (Sumatran orangutan)
Lineage: Eukaryota; Metazoa; Chordata; Mammalia; Primates; Hominidae
Source: RNAcentral
GGAUUUUAAAAAUUAUUCGCUAGAAAAAAGACCACGAACUUUGGAGUGGACAUCCUGAGACCUGCCUAAGAAAACCAUUAGGGUAAAGAAGUCACCCCUUCACCCCAGGACCAGGAAGCCUCCAGGAUGGCAUAAGCGACCAAACAGCUGGGAGCCAAGCACAGUGCAGGGGGCUUGGGGGCGGCGGCCGGAGGCUGGGGUGGUGGCCUCCAGAAGACACUCCCCUGAUUCCUACACCGAGGGAACACAUAUCAGCAAGCUAGGAAGGGAGGGGUGACCCAGCCCAACGCUCUAAACCAGGGCGCGAACCGGCGUUGAGCUGUGCAGCCGCGCCCUGGGCUCCAGUCCUCCCCUGCUGCAGACCCCACCGGAGCCAGCACCUGCCUCCCAGACCCUCGCUGGGGCGGCUGUGAGAUGAGCUCAGAGCCUUCCUGAGCCAACCCUCGCAAGGAAAGUCUGUCUGUUCACCCCACUAUCCUUGUCUUGAAGGAUGAAGAAAAGAGGGCCCCCCGGUUGGUCCCAAAAGGUGGAAUGGACAUCUGGGAUCCAAGCAUAGCAAUUUCUUUAUUUUUCUUAA